UACAGAGGGGGCAAGCGUUGUUCGGAAUUACUGGGCGUAAAGGGCGCGUAGGCGGCCUGCUAAGUCGAACGUGAAAUCCCUGGGCUCAACCCAGGAACUGCGUCCGAUACUGGUUGGCUUGAAUCCGGGAGAGGGAUGUGGAAUUCCAGGUGUAGCGGUGAAAUGCGUAGAUAUCAGGAGGAACACCGGCGGUGUAGACGGCUCUCUGGACCGUAACUGACGCUGAGACACGAAAGCGUGGGUAGCAAACAGG
This 253-nucleotide ribosomal RNA is filed under the name uncultured bacterium. Its description in RNAcentral is "partial 16S ribosomal RNA". It matches the Rfam family "Bacterial small subunit ribosomal RNA", at positions 524 to 776 of the family's 1533-position model. The record is from RNAcentral.